Molecule: ribosomal RNA, 292 nt
Filed under: uncultured bacterium
Lineage: Bacteria
Description: partial 16S ribosomal RNA
Rfam family: Bacterial small subunit ribosomal RNA
Source: RNAcentral
GUGCCAGCAGCCGCGGUAAUACGUAGACCUCGAGCGUUAUCCGGAUUUACUGGGCGUAAAGCGUACGUAGGUGUCUUCGUAAGUCUCUGGUGAAAUCUCCGGGCUUAACUCGGAACUGGUCAGAGAAACUGCGAGGAUUGAGUGUGGUAGAGGCAGAUGGAAUGGUUGGUGUAGCGGUAAAAUGCGUUGAUAUCAACCAGAACACCAGUGGCGAAGGCGAUCUGCUGGACCAUUACUGACACUGAGGUACGAAAGCGUGGGUAGCGAACGGGAUUAGAUACCCCUGUAGUCC